Molecule: small RNA, 65 nt
Filed under: Sinorhizobium meliloti 2011
Lineage: Bacteria; Pseudomonadati; Pseudomonadota; Alphaproteobacteria; Hyphomicrobiales; Rhizobiaceae
Description: putative ncRNA
Source: RNAcentral
GCGGACCAUGCGCGGCGCCGGGCGCCCAGUACAUGAAGAAGGGCCGGUCCGGCGUCAGCGCGUGC